RNAcentral lists this ribosomal RNA (1782 nucleotides) under Durio zibethinus. Its description in RNAcentral is "SSU rRNA". It matches the Rfam family "Eukaryotic small subunit ribosomal RNA". The record is from RNAcentral. Lineage: Eukaryota; Viridiplantae; Streptophyta; Magnoliopsida; Malvales; Malvaceae.
CUUGGUUGAUCCUACCAGUAGUCAUAUGCUUGUCUCAAAGAUUAAGCGAUGCAUGUAAGUAUGAACUAAUUUAGAUUGUGAAAUUGUGAAUGGCUCAUUAAAUUAGUUAUAGUUUGUUUGAUGGUAUCUACUACUUAGAUAAUCGUAGUAAUUCUACAACUAAAGCAUACAAUAACCCCUGCUUUUGGAAAGGAUGCAUUUAUUAGAUUAAAGGUCAAUGUGGGCUUUGCCCUUUGCUCUAAUGAUUCAUUAUAGCUUGACGGAUCGUACGACCUUUGAGCCAGCAAUGCAUUAUUCAAAUUUCUACCCUAUCAAUUUUUGAUGGUAGGAUAAUGGCCUAUUAUGGUGGUGACCGGUGACAGAGAAUUAGGGUUUGAUUCCAAAAAAGGAACCUAAGAAAAGGCUAAUACAUCCAAGGAAGGCUGCAGGUGAAAAAUUACCCAAUAUUGACACAGGGAGGUUGUGAUAAUAAAUAACAAUACCGGGCUCUAUAAGUCUAGUAAUUGAAAUAAAUACAAUCUAAAUCCCUUAAUGAGGAUCUAUUAGAAGGCAAGUCUAGUGCUAGUAGUCACGAUAAUUCUAGCUCCAAUAGCAUAUAUUUAAGUUGUUAUAGUUAAAAAACUCGUAGUUGGAACUAGGGUUGAGUCAUCUGGUCUAUCUUAUGGUGAGCAUCAGUCUACUUAUCCUUAUAACCAAUGAUGCACUCCUGACCUUAACUAGCUAGGUCAUUCCUCUGGCGAUGUUACUAUGAAGAAAUUAGAGUGCUCAAAGUAGGCCUAUGUUUGUAUACAUUAGCAUAGGAUAACAUCAUAAAAUUUUGGUGCUAUUGUGUUGGCCUUUGGGAUCAGAGUAAUGAUUAACAGGGAUAGUUAGGGGCAUUCGUAUUUUAUAGUUAGAGGUGAAAUUCUUGGAUUUAUGAAAAAUGAACAAUUACGAAAGCAUUUGCCAAAGAUGUUUUCAUUAAUCAAGAAUGAAAGUUGGGGGCUCAAAGUUGAUCAAAUACCAUCAUAGUCUCAACUAUAAAUGAUGCCGACCAAAGAUCAACAAAUGUUACUUUUAGGAUUCCGUCAACACCUUAUGAAAAAUCAAAGUCUUUAGAUUCUAGGGGGAGUACGGUUGCAAGGCUAAAACUUAAAAGAAUUGAUGGAAGGGCAUCACUAGAAGUGGAGCUUGUGGUUUAAUUUGACUCAACACAAGAAAACUUAUUAGGUCUAAACAUAGUAAGGAUUAACAUACUGAGAGCUUUUUCUUGAUUCUAUAGAUGGUGGUGUAUUGUUGUUCUUAGUUGGUAGAGUGAUUUUUCUACUUAAUUCUAUUAAUGAAUGAGACCUCAACCUAUUAACUAGCUACGAGGAGAUGAUCCUUUAUGGCUAGCUUCUUAAAGGGACUACUGCUAUUUAGACCAAGGAAGUUUGAGGUAAUAAUAGGUCUAUGAUGCCUUUAGAUGUUUUGGGUUGCACGUGCACUACACUGAUGUAUUCAACGAGUCUAUAGCCUUAGCCAAUAGGCCUAGGUAAUCUUUGAAAUUUCAUCGUAAUAGGCAUAGAUCAUUACAAUUAUUGGUCUUCAACGAGGAAUUCCUAAUAAGUGUCACGUUGACUACGUCCCUACUUUUUGUACACACCACCUGUCACUCCUACCAAUCGAAUAGUCUACUGAAGUGUUCAUAUUGCAGCGACAUGGACCAUUCACUACUUAUGACGUUGCGAGUAAUCCACUAAACCUUAUCAUUUAGAGGAAGGAGAAGUCAUAACAAGGUUUCCAUAGGUGAACUUACGGAAG